Molecule: ribosomal RNA, 361 nt
Filed under: uncultured euryarchaeote
Lineage: Archaea; Methanobacteriati; Methanobacteriota
Description: bacterial SSU rRNA
Rfam family: Archaeal small subunit ribosomal RNA
Source: RNAcentral
AUUAGGCUUAAAGCGCCCGUAGCCGGUUUGGUGUGUGCACUGUGAAAUGUUAGGGCUCAACCCUAACGCGUGCAGUGUAUACUACCAGACUAGGGAGCGGGGGAGGGGGAAGGUACGUUCAGGCUAGCGGUAAAAUGCGUUGAACCUGAACGGACCACCAGUGGCGAAGGCGUUCCUCCAAAACGCGUCCGACGGUGAGGGGCGAAGGCUAGGGGAGCAAAAGGGAUUAGAUACCCCUGUAGUCCUAGCUGUAAAUGAUGCCCACUGCUCCUUACUGAUGCUCUGUGCAUUGGUAGGGGGUAAGCGAAAGCGUUAAGUGGGCCGCCUGGGAGUACGCCGCAGAUUCAAUCAUGGAAAGCGA